CCGUGAUCGUGGUCUGCAGC
RNAcentral lists this non-coding RNA (20 nucleotides) under Arabidopsis thaliana (thale cress). Lineage: Eukaryota; Viridiplantae; Streptophyta; Magnoliopsida; Brassicales; Brassicaceae. The record is from RNAcentral.